This is a non-coding RNA of Candidatus Riesia pediculicola, 74 nucleotides long. The record is from Rfam. Lineage: Bacteria; Pseudomonadati; Pseudomonadota; Gammaproteobacteria; Enterobacterales; Enterobacteriaceae.
GCGCCCUUAGCUCAGAUGGAUAGAGCAACGACCUUCUAAGUCGUAGAUCACAGGUUCGAGUCCUGUAGGGCGCG